Equus quagga is the source of this 295-nucleotide long non-coding RNA. RefSeq lists it as uncharacterized. Lineage: Eukaryota; Metazoa; Chordata; Mammalia; Perissodactyla; Equidae. The transcript is spliced from 3 exons. The record is from RefSeq and is a predicted model, not a curated record.
GUCUUGAAAGUGGACUUUGAGUAUUUCCUAGGUGUAUUACUGCGUGAAAAGAAAGGCUGGAACACAUUGAAUGGUUUCGUUCUUAAAACUUUUUUCCUCGCCUCCUGACUCGUCAGGUGACCGGGGCGCCAUCAUUCACUUUGGGGGAGGCCAGCUGCCAUAUCAUGAAGACAUUCAAGCAGCCUUUUGAGAGGUCCAUUUGGGAAGGAACUAAGGCCUCCUGCCCACAGUCAUGAGAUGCAAUCACCAACCACCUUGAACCGGCCCAAGCCUCACCACAAGAGCUACCCCUAUG